AUAGAUAGAAACUCAGAGUGACAGAGACGGAGAGCAGGAGAGACAGAGAGAGAGAAAGAGAGAGAGAGAGAGAGAAAACCUUUCUGACACAGUACAUUACCACCAAUAGCUCAGUGGAAGUCAAUUUAUUUCAGAAACUUGGAGUAAGGAAGACGGAAAACAGGAGAGAGAAAAA
Molecule: long non-coding RNA, 175 nt
Organism: Monomorium pharaonis (pharaoh ant)
Lineage: Eukaryota; Metazoa; Arthropoda; Insecta; Hymenoptera; Formicidae
Exons: 2
Source: RefSeq, a predicted model, not a curated record